RNAcentral lists this transfer RNA (60 nucleotides) under human gut metagenome. It matches the Rfam family "tRNA", at positions 8 to 63 of the family's 71-position model. Rfam says of the family: Transfer RNA (tRNA) molecules are approximately 80 nucleotides in length. Their secondary structure includes four short double-helical elements and three loops (D, anti-codon, and T loops). Further hydrogen bonds mediate the characteristic L-shaped molecular structure. tRNAs have two regions of fundamental functional importance: the anti-codon, which is responsible for specific mRNA codon recognition, and the 3' end, to which the tRNAs corresponding amino acid is attached (by aminoacyl-tRNA synthetases). tRNAs cope with the degeneracy of the genetic code in two manners: having more than one tRNA (with a specific anti-codon) for a particular amino acid; and 'wobble' base-pairing, i.e. permitting non-standard base-pairing at the 3rd anti-codon position. The record is from RNAcentral.
AUUAGCUCAGUUGGUAGAGCACCUGACUUUUAAUCCGGUUGUCCCGAGUUCGAGUCUCGG